This is a non-coding RNA of Schistosoma rodhaini, 45 nucleotides long. The record is from Rfam. NCBI's taxonomy places the organism in Eukaryota, Metazoa, Platyhelminthes, Trematoda, Strigeidida, Schistosomatidae.
GUCUAACUGACGAGUCCCUAAGAGAACGAAACGUACGUCCCAGAU